This 73-nucleotide transfer RNA is filed under the name Variovorax paradoxus. RNAcentral's name for it is "tRNA-Thr". It matches the Rfam family "tRNA". Rfam says of the family: Transfer RNA (tRNA) molecules are approximately 80 nucleotides in length. Their secondary structure includes four short double-helical elements and three loops (D, anti-codon, and T loops). Further hydrogen bonds mediate the characteristic L-shaped molecular structure. tRNAs have two regions of fundamental functional importance: the anti-codon, which is responsible for specific mRNA codon recognition, and the 3' end, to which the tRNAs corresponding amino acid is attached (by aminoacyl-tRNA synthetases). tRNAs cope with the degeneracy of the genetic code in two manners: having more than one tRNA (with a specific anti-codon) for a particular amino acid; and 'wobble' base-pairing, i.e. permitting non-standard base-pairing at the 3rd anti-codon position. The record is from RNAcentral. RNAcentral also lists the same sequence under 1 other name. Lineage: Bacteria; Pseudomonadati; Pseudomonadota; Betaproteobacteria; Burkholderiales; Comamonadaceae.
GCCGAUUUAGCUCAGUUGGUAGAGCACCCGCCUUGUAAGCGGACGGUCGUCAGUUCGAUUCCGACAAUCCUCU